AGUGAACGCUGGCGGCGUGCCUAAUACAUGCAAGUCGAACGGAGUGGCGCACGGGUGAGUAAUAUAUAGCUAAUCUGCCCCUUGCUGGAGGACAACAGUUAGAAAUGACUGCUAAUACUCCAUAGCAAGGGUUGAGACUAUAUCGUAUUAGCUAGUCGGUGGGGUACCGGCCUACCGAGGCGAUGACGCGUAACUGGUCUGAGAGGAUGAUCAGUAGCAUUGGAACGGAGGCACGGUCCAGACACCUUCGGGAGGGAGCGAUAGGGUGUAACACGCAAGGGGGGAGUGCCUGGCAGAUCAACGGCGCGUGGAGGAUGAUACUUUGCGGAGCGUAAACUCCUUUUGUUAGGUAGGCGGUACCUAACGAAUAAGCACCGGCUAACUCCGUGCCAGCAGCCGCGGUAAUAC
Molecule: ribosomal RNA, 408 nt
Filed under: uncultured bacterium
Lineage: Bacteria
Description: partial 16S ribosomal RNA
Rfam family: Bacterial small subunit ribosomal RNA
Source: RNAcentral